Molecule: ribosomal RNA, 255 nt
Filed under: Escherichia coli
Lineage: Bacteria; Pseudomonadati; Pseudomonadota; Gammaproteobacteria; Enterobacterales; Enterobacteriaceae
Description: partial 23S ribosomal RNA
Rfam family: Bacterial large subunit ribosomal RNA
Source: RNAcentral
AAAGCGUAAUAGCUCACUGGUCGAGUCGGCCUGCGCGGAAGAUGUAACGGGGCUAAACCAUGCACCGAAGCUGCGGCAGCGACGCUUAUGCGUUGUUGGGUAGGGGAGCGUUCUGUAAGCCUGUGAAAGUGUGCUGUGAGGCAUGCUGGAGGUAUCAGAAGUGCGAAUGCUGACAUAAGUAACGAUAAAGCGGGUGAAAAGCCCGCUCGCCGGAAGACCAAGGGUUCCUGUCCAACGUUAAUCGGGGCAGGGUGA